AGGGUUCGAGUGUGAGCA
Molecule: small nuclear RNA, 18 nt
Filed under: Arabidopsis thaliana (thale cress)
Lineage: Eukaryota; Viridiplantae; Streptophyta; Magnoliopsida; Brassicales; Brassicaceae
Description: snRNA_15385
Source: RNAcentral